CGAUAGCAGAAUCAGAGAGGAGCAGAGUGGAGAGUUUCAGGACAAGAUGAAAACUCUUCUCCUGCUCUCUGCCAUCCUGGCAGUAACUGCUUGUCUCCCGGUGCCUAAGGACCAGGAACGAGAAAAACGAAGUGCCAGUAACAGUGACAGUGAUGAAUUCCCUUCACGGAUUCCCUUUCCCCCAUACGGGUAUCCAUUUGGUACAUACCCACCAUUCUUAAAUCAAGGCAACCCGUGGUAUUAUUAUUAUUAUUAUUAUCAUUAUCCUCUUUUCCCCCUGCCCUUCACUCCACCUCCAACUGCAGAUCCCUAACAGCAAAUAAAAGAAAAGUCACACUGUGGAUUAUUUAAGGUUACUUUGAAAUUGAAUAUGAACCACUUUCUUGAAGGAUCAAUAUUCCUGUUAAGAGAGAAAAAUAAAAGCAAUUGAAAUAGCAUA
RNAcentral lists this long non-coding RNA (439 nucleotides) under Mus pahari (shrew mouse). RNAcentral's name for it is "lncRNA (MGP_PahariEiJ_G0004524.1)". Lineage: Eukaryota; Metazoa; Chordata; Mammalia; Rodentia; Muridae. The record is from RNAcentral.